UCGGUUCUAUGAAACACCAAACCUAGAAAACUCUCAUACUAAUCUUCGAUCUGAAUUUCAACAACGAAAUACUGCUUAGAUCGAGCUUUGUCGUUGCUGUUUAUCAAGUUUGUACCGCAGAUUCCGAAUUAUAGAAACAGUUCAAGUUCGUUGGAUAAGACAGAUUCACAGAGGAAGCAUUCUUCUCAUUGGUUACAGAUUGUUCCAAAGGAUCUUUCUGCAACAGUCUAGAUAAUCUGUUCAGGUAAAAUCUCUAAAAUUGUAGCUUCCAUUUGUUUCAUACCCAAAAGAUUAGAGGGACA
This is a long non-coding RNA of Arabidopsis lyrata subsp. lyrata, 302 nucleotides long. RefSeq lists it as uncharacterized. The record is from RefSeq and is a predicted model, not a curated record. NCBI's taxonomy places the organism in Eukaryota, Viridiplantae, Streptophyta, Magnoliopsida, Brassicales, Brassicaceae. The transcript is spliced from 2 exons.